UACGAAGGGGGCUAGCGUUGCUCGGAAUCACUGGGCGUAAAGGGCGCGUAGGCGGCUUUCUAAGUCAGGGGUGAAAUCCGGCAGCUCAACUGUCGCAGUGCCUUUGAUACUGGAGAGCUCGAGGGAGGUAGGGGUCUGUGGAACUUCCGGUGGAGCGGUGAAAUGCGUUGAUAUCGGAAGGAACGCCGGUGGCGAAAGCGACGGACUGGAUCUCUUCUGACGCUGAGGCGCGAAAGCCAGGGGAGCAAACGGG
This 253-nucleotide ribosomal RNA is filed under the name uncultured bacterium. RNAcentral's name for it is "partial 16S ribosomal RNA". It matches the Rfam family "Bacterial small subunit ribosomal RNA", at positions 524 to 776 of the family's 1533-position model. The record is from RNAcentral.